This is a long non-coding RNA of Hippocampus comes (tiger tail seahorse), 553 nucleotides long. RefSeq lists it as uncharacterized. Lineage: Eukaryota; Metazoa; Chordata; Actinopteri; Syngnathiformes; Syngnathidae. The record is from RefSeq and is a predicted model, not a curated record. The transcript has 2 exons.
AGGUAUGAGUGUGAGCGUGGAUGGUUGUUCGUCUAUGUGUGCCUUGCGUUUGGCUGGCAACCAGUUCAUGGUGUCCCCCGUCUCCUGCCCAAAUACGGCUGGGAUAGCUCUCCAGCAUGCCCCGCGACCCUUGCGAAGAUAAGCGGAUCAGAUGGGUGCAACUCUGCACCAGAGGAUGGUUCGACCAAUGUAUUUUCGUGGAGGAGCGCAGUCUGGCGGAUGUUCAGCGCAGAUGUGUGGUGUUCUCUAACUGCAUUGGAGGAACAUCAUGAGCGCCAUUCAAGCAGAUCUGCUGAAGCACAGUGGAUGAUGAGGAAAAUGCCCUCUCAUGACUGCCGAACCAUCUCGCCUUGAAACAAGGUGUAAAAGACGGCCUGCAGCGACACCUGGUGGUAAACUAACGGAUUAACACAUUGACAUCCACAAGAAUCGGAUACAUCCAUCCAUCAUCCGAAACGUUUACUGUAUUCCUUGAGCUGGAGCUCAGGUUCUUAUCAGAACCAAGAGAUCAUAACAUAUAGCUCUAAAGACUACACUGGCUCUUACACUGUUU